UACGUAGGGGGCGAGCGUUGUCCGGAUUUAUUGGGCGUAAAGAGCGUGUAGGCGGCCAGGUAGGUCUGCUGUGAAAACUCGAGGCUCAACCUCGAGACGUCGGCGGAAACCAUCUGGCUAGAGUCCGGAAGAGGAGAGUGGAAUUCCUGGUGUAGCGGUGAAAUGCGCAGAUAUCAGGAGGAACACCGGUGGCGAAGGCGGCUUUCUGGACGACAACUGACGCUGAGACGCGAAAGCGUGGGGAGCAAACAGG
RNAcentral lists this ribosomal RNA (253 nucleotides) under uncultured bacterium. RNAcentral's name for it is "partial 16S ribosomal RNA". It matches the Rfam family "Bacterial small subunit ribosomal RNA", at positions 524 to 776 of the family's 1533-position model. The record is from RNAcentral.